UCCUACGGGGGGCAGCAGUGGGGAAUAUUGCACAAUGGGGGAAACCCUGAUGCAGCAACGCCGCGUGAGUGAAGAAGUAUUUCGAUAUGUAAAGCUCUAUCAGCAGGGAAGAAGAUGACGGUACCUGAGUAAGAAGCCCCGGCUAACUACGUGCCAGCAGCCGCGGUAAUACGGAGGAUGCGAGCGUUAUCCGGAUUUAUUGGGUUUAAAGGGUGCGUAGGCGGUCCGUUAAGUCAGCGGUAAAAUUGCGGGGCUCAACCCCGUCGAGCCAUUGAAACUGGCAGACUUGAGUUGGCGAGAAGUAC
RNAcentral lists this ribosomal RNA (305 nucleotides) under uncultured bacterium. Its description in RNAcentral is "bacterial SSU rRNA". It matches the Rfam family "Bacterial small subunit ribosomal RNA", at positions 337 to 660 of the family's 1533-position model. The record is from RNAcentral.